Molecule: ribosomal RNA, 220 nt
Filed under: uncultured crenarchaeote
Lineage: Archaea; Thermoproteati; Thermoproteota
Description: partial 16S ribosomal RNA
Rfam family: Archaeal small subunit ribosomal RNA
Source: RNAcentral
AACCUCUGCAAUAAGCGAAAGCUUGACAGGGUUACUCUGAGUGACUUCCGCUAAGGAAGUCUUUUGGCACCUCUAAAAAUGGUGCAGAAUAAGGGGUGGGCAAGUCUGGUGUCAGCCGCCGCGGUAAUACCAGCACCCCGAGUGGUCGGGACGAUUAUUGGGCCUAAAGCAUCCGUAGCCGGUCCUGCGAGUCCUCCGUUAAAUCCACCCGCUCAACGGU